UAUGUGAGAGUGGGUCUUCCCGUACAGGAAGUAGAAGAUCUUUUGUUUGGGGGCCUCGUCGUCCUCCUCCAUGUCAUUGGCCAGAUAGCUGAGGACAGAAAUCAGGUUGCUGCUCAGGGGCACCACCAGGAGAGACCUCCGGCUGAGGUCAGCUUCCCAGAGAGGAAGGAUGGAGACAAAAACCCAACUGGUGACCAAGAGUGGUGGCUUAGGCCUGGAAUCCCAGCACACUGGGAGGCCGAAGCAGGAGGAUCACUUGAGGCCAGGAGUUUGAGACAGGCCUGGGCAACAUAGCAAGACCCUUGUCUCUAUUAAAAAUAUAAAAAAUACGCCAGACGUGGUGGCUCAUGCCUGUAAUCCCAGCACUUUGGAAGGCUGAAGCAGGUGGAUUGCUUGAGACCAGGAGUUUGAGACCAGCCUGGCCAACACAGAGAAACCCCAUUUAUGCUAAAAAUACAAAAAUCAGCCUGGUGCGGUGGCACACCCAUUAGUCCUAGCUACUCAAGAGGCUGAAGCAUAAGAAUUGUGUGAACCCAGGAGGCGGAGGUUGCAGUGAGCCAAGAUUGGGCCCCUCCAUUCCAGCCUGAGAGACACAGCAACACUCUUG
RNAcentral lists this long non-coding RNA (607 nucleotides) under Homo sapiens (human). Its description in RNAcentral is "HSALNT0126363". The record is from RNAcentral. Lineage: Eukaryota; Metazoa; Chordata; Mammalia; Primates; Hominidae.